Molecule: non-coding RNA, 181 nt
Filed under: Melampsora larici-populina 98AG31
Lineage: Eukaryota; Fungi; Basidiomycota; Pucciniomycetes; Pucciniales; Melampsoraceae
Description: eukaryotic large subunit ribosomal RNA
Rfam family: Eukaryotic large subunit ribosomal RNA
Source: Rfam by way of RNAcentral
GACAAGGGCUGUACAUAUUUUCCAUCAGCUUGUUCAACUAUACUGCACAGGCUCAUUGAGAACAGAAAUCUCAAGUAGAACAAAAGGGUAAAAGUCCCCUUGAUUUUGAUUUCCAGUGUGAAUACAAACCAUGAAAGUGUGGCCUAUUGAUCCUUUAGUCCUUUAGAAUUUAAAGCUAGAG